This 253-nucleotide ribosomal RNA is filed under the name uncultured bacterium. RNAcentral's name for it is "partial 16S ribosomal RNA". It matches the Rfam family "Bacterial small subunit ribosomal RNA", at positions 524 to 776 of the family's 1533-position model. The record is from RNAcentral.
UACGUAGGGUGCAAGCGUUGUCCGGAAUUAUUGGGCGUAAAGAGCUCGUAGGCGGUCUGUCGCGUCGGCUGUGAAAACUCGGGGCUCAACCCCGAGCCUGCAGUCGAUACGGGCAGACUAGAGUGCGGUAGGGGAGACUGGAAUUCCUGGUGUAGCGGUGAAAUGCGCAGAUAUCAGGAGGAACACCGGUGGCGAAGGCGGGUCUCUGGGCCGUAACUGGCGCUGAGGAGCGAAAGCGUGGGGAGCAAACAGG